GCGGUCGUAGCUCAGUUGGAUAGAGCACAGGAUUCCUAAUCCUGGGGUCGUAGGUUCAAAUCCCACCGAUCGCACCA
Molecule: transfer RNA, 77 nt
Filed under: Holosporaceae bacterium
Lineage: Bacteria; Pseudomonadati; Pseudomonadota; Alphaproteobacteria; Holosporales; Holosporaceae
Description: tRNA-Arg
Rfam family: tRNA
About the family: Transfer RNA (tRNA) molecules are approximately 80 nucleotides in length.
Source: RNAcentral